This 172-nucleotide non-coding RNA is filed under the name Palpitomonas bilix. The record is from RNAcentral.
AAACGAAAUACAAAUGCAAAUCCAGAAGACGUCCUCGUAGAACUUGGCUUCUUUUUUCUUUUUCUUUUUUCCUUUUCCUUCCCUUUUCUGUCAUCCCUUUUUUCCUUUUUGAUUUUCGAUUUCAGAGUAUCAGAUCGUCCCCAGAAAGACAGCCAGCAAUGACGAAGUCACU